ACUCCUACGGGAGGCAGCAGUGGGGAAUAUUGGACAAUGGGGGGAACCCUGAUCCAGCCAUGCCGCGUGUGUGAAGAAGGCCUUAUGGUUGUAAAGCACUUUAAGCGAGGAGGAGGCUACUCUAGUUAAUACCUAGGGAUAGUGGACGUUACUCGCAGAAUAAGCACCGGCUAACUCUGUGCCAGCAGCCGCGGUAAUACAGAGGGUGCGAGCGUUAAUCGGAUUUACUGGGCGUAAAGCGUGCGUAGGCGGCUUAUUAAGUCGGAUGUGAAAUCCCCG
RNAcentral lists this ribosomal RNA (279 nucleotides) under uncultured bacterium. RNAcentral's name for it is "partial 16S ribosomal RNA". It matches the Rfam family "Bacterial small subunit ribosomal RNA", at positions 335 to 605 of the family's 1533-position model. The record is from RNAcentral.